RNAcentral lists this microRNA precursor (78 nucleotides) under Schistosoma margrebowiei. RNAcentral's name for it is "mir-3492 microRNA precursor family". It matches the Rfam family "mir-3492 microRNA precursor family". Lineage: Eukaryota; Metazoa; Platyhelminthes; Trematoda; Strigeidida; Schistosomatidae. The record is from Rfam by way of RNAcentral.
AGCCUUCCGUAUCCGUGCUGAGAUUUCGCCACACACCAGACCACGAGGGCUGGUGAGAAUCCCAAAAUAAGUAAAGCU